Long non-coding RNA from Hermetia illucens (black soldier fly), 385 nucleotides. RefSeq lists it as uncharacterized. NCBI's taxonomy places the organism in Eukaryota, Metazoa, Arthropoda, Insecta, Diptera, Stratiomyidae. The record is from RefSeq and is a predicted model, not a curated record. The transcript has 2 exons.
UUUUGCAGUAAUACUUGUUCUUCCACUGUUGUUGUAUCCGAUGAGACUAGUUAUUUCGGUGUUUUCUAGGAAACUGGAUAUCAUGUGAUGAUCAACUCUCAGCAACUAAUUCAUCAUUGAACGUGAAGGAGUGGGGAUCAUGAGUUCAGAUUAAAGAUAUUUUUUUAGUGAUAUAUUACAGCAGUUUAUUUAACAACAUUAAAAGGUACAGAAUUCAGUUCACUUAGAAACGAAGGGGUUUGGCAACGUAUUCUUCCUUUUGUGGGUGAGCGGCGAUCCAGGCCAAAGCACGUCCAACGUAUUCUGGGACUGGUGGUGGGACUGGAAGAUGAGCACCUUCUGGGUGGAAUCCGUUUUCGUCAGCAGUGUAGGUAAGGGCAAUUGG